UUAGCUAUUUUAGAUGAGUUUGUAUUCAUGACACAUGGAUGCAAACAGCGCAAGUUUGUAUCUAUGAUGGCUAAGGGAAUUUGACUUGACUUACUCGCCACCGUAGAUUUCUUCUAUAGUGGCUUUUCUUUUACGCUUUGUUCG
RNAcentral lists this non-coding RNA (144 nucleotides) under Enterococcus asini ATCC 700915. RNAcentral describes it as "Enterococcus sRNA 2410". It matches the Rfam family "Enterococcus sRNA 2410". Rfam says of the family: Produced as 2 transcripts on Northern blot. Lineage: Bacteria; Bacillati; Bacillota; Bacilli; Lactobacillales; Enterococcaceae. The record is from Rfam by way of RNAcentral.